AUUGAACGCUGGCGGCAUGCCUUACACAUGCAAGUCGAACGGUAACAGGUCUUCGGAUGCUGACGAGUGGCGAACGGGUGAGUAAUACAUCGGAACGUGCCUAGUAGUGGGGGAUAACUACUCGAAAGAGUGGCUAAUACCGCAUGAGAUCUACGGAUGAAAGCAGGGGAUCGCAAGACCUUGUGCUACUAGAGCGGCCGAUGGCAGAUUAGGUAGUUGGUGGGAUAAAAGCUUACCAAGCCGACGAUCUGUAGCUGGUCUGAGAGGACGAUCAGCCACACUGGGACUGAGACACGGCCCAGACUCCUACGGGAGGCAGCAGUGGGGAAUUUUGGACAAUGGGCGAAAACCUGAUCCAGCAAUGCCGCGUGCAGGAUGAAGGCCUUCGGGUUGUAAACUGCUUUAGUACGGAACGAAAAGCCCCGGGUUAAUACCCUGGGGUCAUGACGGUACCGUAAGAAUAAGCACCGGCUAACUACGUGCCAGCCGCCGCAGUAA
RNAcentral lists this ribosomal RNA (498 nucleotides) under uncultured bacterium. Its description in RNAcentral is "partial 16S ribosomal RNA". It matches the Rfam family "Bacterial small subunit ribosomal RNA", at positions 30 to 523 of the family's 1533-position model. The record is from RNAcentral.